This is a long non-coding RNA of Sceloporus undulatus (fence lizard), 488 nucleotides long. RefSeq lists it as uncharacterized. The record is from RefSeq and is a predicted model, not a curated record. The transcript is spliced from 3 exons. NCBI's taxonomy places the organism in Eukaryota, Metazoa, Chordata, Lepidosauria, Squamata, Phrynosomatidae.
CCCCCUACUUCCGGCGCCUGUUGGCUUUGGGCAAGUGCAGUAAGGCGCGUCCGCUCUGUCUCUCUCGCUCUCUAUGGUUUGCGCCGGUGCGACAGGCAAAGAGAAGGGUCUCUGUCUGCGGCCAGUAGGGCUUUGGCUCCGCCCCCUUUUCCCCUUCUCUCUGCCUGUCGUCGCGCGCUGCCGGUCGGAGGAGUAGCGUCUACGGAGGCCGAGGAGGCUCACCUGGCCUGAAAGGGCGAGUGGGAGGCCCGCAUACAUCCCCUCUCAGUCAGUGGUUUCCCUGGGGGCUGCCAAGCAGGUCGUUCCAGAGCCUAGGAGCGGCAGAUGAAUACUGGCUAUACUUUUUCCUUUGACUGCCCUCCUUGUAUGUCCAGAGUUUGUGUCAGAUCAUGGUUAUGAAGGCUUCAGUAGAAGACGAUGAUUCAGGAUGGAGCUCAACAUACCAGAGAAGAUGGAGAAGAGUAACACAAGCUGGGUAAGAUUACCCA